GCCCUGGUGGUGAAAUUGGUAGACACAAGGGAUUUAAAAUCCCUCGCUGGUAACAGCGUGCCGGUUCAAGUCCGGCCCGGGGCACCA
RNAcentral lists this transfer RNA (87 nucleotides) under Ferrimonas sediminum. RNAcentral describes it as "tRNA_Leu_TAA". It matches the Rfam family "tRNA". Rfam says of the family: Transfer RNA (tRNA) molecules are approximately 80 nucleotides in length. RNAcentral also lists the same sequence under 3 other names. Lineage: Bacteria; Pseudomonadati; Pseudomonadota; Gammaproteobacteria; Alteromonadales; Ferrimonadaceae. The record is from RNAcentral.